Ceraceosorus bombacis is the source of this 94-nucleotide transfer RNA. It matches the Rfam family "tRNA". Rfam says of the family: Transfer RNA (tRNA) molecules are approximately 80 nucleotides in length. Their secondary structure includes four short double-helical elements and three loops (D, anti-codon, and T loops). Further hydrogen bonds mediate the characteristic L-shaped molecular structure. tRNAs have two regions of fundamental functional importance: the anti-codon, which is responsible for specific mRNA codon recognition, and the 3' end, to which the tRNAs corresponding amino acid is attached (by aminoacyl-tRNA synthetases). tRNAs cope with the degeneracy of the genetic code in two manners: having more than one tRNA (with a specific anti-codon) for a particular amino acid; and 'wobble' base-pairing, i.e. permitting non-standard base-pairing at the 3rd anti-codon position. The record is from Rfam. NCBI's taxonomy places the organism in Eukaryota, Fungi, Basidiomycota, Exobasidiomycetes, Ceraceosorales, Ceraceosoraceae.
GCAUCUAUGGGUUAGUGGUAUACUGCUCGCUUGCCAAUUAGCGCAUCGCGUAAUGAACUUGCGGGCGACACGGGUUCGAUUCCCGUUGGAUGCA